GGAUGUGAGGGCGAUCUGGCUGCGACAUCUACCACCCCACUGACCACCAGGGUUGAUUCGGCUGAUCUGGCUGGCUAGGCAGGUGUCCCCUUCCUCCCUCACCGCUCCAUGUGCGUCCCUUCCAGAGCUGCGUGCUUGGUCCAAGAGGAUGAUCAUCCACGAUAGAGGAGGACAGGUCUUCGGUAAAGGGUAUAAGAAUAGCUGCGCUCCCCUGCUAGAACCUCCAAACAAGCUCUCAAAUUAUUAAGUAGUUGAUUACCCCUUAACAAAUAUUUUGGCUCUUCUAUUUUAUUUUUAU
Molecule: non-coding RNA, 298 nt
Organism: Dipodomys ordii (Ord's kangaroo rat)
Lineage: Eukaryota; Metazoa; Chordata; Mammalia; Rodentia; Heteromyidae
Source: Rfam